Long non-coding RNA from Aptenodytes forsteri (emperor penguin), 1046 nucleotides. RefSeq lists it as uncharacterized. NCBI's taxonomy places the organism in Eukaryota, Metazoa, Chordata, Aves, Sphenisciformes, Spheniscidae. The record is from RefSeq and is a predicted model, not a curated record. The transcript has 4 exons.
AACACUUCUACCUCUGAGAAUCCCCUGCUUUGGGGGCUUUGUUUUUUAGAGAAACCUACUUAAAAUGAAAAAGCAUACUGAAGACAAUUUAUAAAAGUAAAAUCCUUGUAAGAGGCACGGGAACUACUUGAAGAUGCCAUGUGGGGGUCUUGGAGAAAAUGCAUACACUCAUUGAAGAUAAGCAAAAAGAAACUGGUGUGGCAUAGCUAAAUAGCAGGGUAAAGAGAUAUCGUCUGGAAAGAAGAUGAGUACUGAGAUAAUGAUACUAUGAAUUGUGAAGAAAAAGCUGACUGUGAGGACUUGCACAAGACUUUUUUAGUUGCUGGCACCACAGACACGUGGGCCCUAUGACCCGUGGUAUUGCUCUAGUCCCUGAAUGAAGAUUGAUUCUUCCCUUAUCUGAGAUACAAGCUGAAAUGCAGUGCGAUCUCUUCGGACUCUGACUCAGACAGCACAUUUAGGUGGAAUUACUUCUUCUAUGCAUCCCCAUGUCCAUUUUUAUAUCGAGCAUGCCAAAAGAGACUAAACUUUUCAAUCCCUGAAACUAAAGACUAUUAGAACACAAUGAAUCUGACCAGGAUAAAAAUAUGAAAACCUCAGGGUGAGGGAAAGUUAAUUAUAAGACUGGAAAACAAAUUACUGCUUGCUUCACAUGUCAUUCAAGUGUGUUGGCUUUUCCUUAGUCCUUCUUUCAAACCCUGCUCAUUCUUCCCUCUCCCAGUGAUUGCUCAACUUGAGACAAUCUGCAUUUUCCAUCUUGAGAUUUUUCCUCAGAGUCCCUGAGCAAAUCUCCUUGUUCAGUCACCUUUUUGAGGCUUGACUGUGGUUCUGCUUUCUGAAGCUGUCAAAAACAGUCAGUCUUAGCUGCCCUGUAGCUUCCCUACUUGCUGGCUGUCCCUCUCUGUCACUUGUGUGCUGCUUUUCUGUGUUUUUAAUGGCUAGGAGUGCUCAGUGUUGAGGGAAGAAGUCUCCUUUCUUCCCUAGUCUCCUUUCUUCUCCACCAACUUAUUCCCUAAAACUGCUCUUUUAGUCCUUCUUUAUCACAU